UGGGGAAUAUUGCACAAUGGGCGCAAGCCUGAUGCAGCCAUGCCGCGUGUAUGAAGAAGGCCUUCGGGUUGUAAAGUACUUUCAGUCGGGAGGAAGGUGUCAAGGUUAAUAACCUUGGCAAUUGACGUUACCGACAGAAGAAGCACCGGCUAACUCCGUGCCAGCAGCCGCGGUAAUACGGAGGGUGCAAGCGUUAAUCGGAAUUACUGGGCGUAAAGCGCACGCAGGCGGUUGAUUGAGUCAGAUGUGAAAUCCCCGGGCUUAACCCGGGAAGUGCAUCUGAUAGUGGUCGGCUAGAGUCUUGUAGAGGGGGGUAGAAUUCCAUGUGUAGCGAGGAAAUGCGUAGAGAUGUGGAGGAAUGACGGUGGCGAAGGCGGCCCCCUGGACAAAGACUGACGCUCAGGUGCGAGAGCGUGGGGAGCAAACAGG
Molecule: ribosomal RNA, 429 nt
Filed under: Chloroflexota bacterium
Lineage: Bacteria; Bacillati; Chloroflexota
Description: Chloroflexi bacterium partial 16S ribosomal RNA
Rfam family: Bacterial small subunit ribosomal RNA
Source: RNAcentral